AUACGGAGGAUCCGAGCGUUAUCCGGAUUUAUUGGGUUUAAAGGGUGCGCAGGCGGCCGUUUAAGUCAGCGGUUAAAUCGUGGGGCUCAACCCCAUUCUGCCGUUGAUACUGGGUGGCUUGAUUGCGGUCGAGGUUGGCGGAAUUCGUUGUGUAGCGGUGAAAUGCAUAGAUAUGACGAAGAACACCGAUUGCGUAGGCAGCUGACCAGAUCGCAAAUGACGCUCAUGCACGAAAGUGCGGGGAUCGAACAGGAUUAGAUACCCUGGUAGUCCGCACAGUAAACGAUGAAUACUUGUUUUCGGCGAUAUAAUGUCGGAGGCAAAGCGAAAGCGAUAAGUAUUCCACCUGGGGAGUACGCCGGCAACGGUGAAACUCAAAUGAAUUGGCGGGG
RNAcentral lists this ribosomal RNA (392 nucleotides) under uncultured bacterium. RNAcentral's name for it is "partial 16S ribosomal RNA". It matches the Rfam family "Bacterial small subunit ribosomal RNA", at positions 523 to 918 of the family's 1533-position model. The record is from RNAcentral.